GUUGCAGUUUUAGAAAGCACAUUAUUUUUUUUUUUUUAUCUUACGAGUAAUAUAUAAGAAAUUUUUUUUUUCUCUUUGUAGGUUGAAGGAGUUGGACAUUGCAAUUAUUUUUUAUGGACUGACGAUGUGCAACACAGUACUUUAGAUCUAAAAUAUCAGCUAAAAGCAAUUGGAGAAGCCACUGAGCAAAAAAUUCAAAGAAUGGAAGUGAAAGUUCUAUUUUGGCUUAAAUUACUUUUCUGUAUUGUAAUCCUUGAUAUACUGAUAAGGGGAGUAUUUUAGAUAUGAUGGAUGGACUAUAUAAUACAGAAUGUGAUGGAGUAUUAUAUAAUUUUCAUGUAAUUGGGUUGGUUUACAGGAUGCAAUUACAACACUGUAUCUCUGUUAAAGAAGUAUUUAUAUAGGAUGUCUUAUUUAAGCUCUAUAUAUAUUUGCAAUUGGGGCAAUUGCCUAUAUACCCCUGAAAAGUAAUUGCAAUUGGGGCAAUUUGCAAUUACUUGGAUUACAUCAUAGCAGAGACAAUUGCUCAUAUACCAACAAUUCCAUCAUCAUCCAAAAAUAAAAGUCAUCAUGAAUAACAAUUGUAUCAUGAAUAACAAUAAUAUCAUUCAAGCUCCAAAAAAUAAGUCACCACAUCCAGUAAAUAACAGGGUCAUCAUCAGUCAAAAAAUUACAGGCCAUCAUCAUCAUCCAAAAAAUUACAGGUCAUCAUCAUCAUCCAAAAAAUUACAGGCCAUCAUCAUCCAAAAAAUUACAGGCCAUAAUCAUCCAUCAUCAUCCAAAAAAUAAUAGGAUCAUCAUCAUCUAAAAAAUAACAGAGCAUUCAUCCAAAAGAUAACAGAGCAUUCUUAACAUGAACUGACUCUCAACCUAGCAAUCUAUUUGCAUCAAU
Molecule: long non-coding RNA, 892 nt
Filed under: Ananas comosus (pineapple)
Lineage: Eukaryota; Viridiplantae; Streptophyta; Magnoliopsida; Poales; Bromeliaceae
Description: long non-coding RNA (ACOM_LNC003568)
Source: RNAcentral